UGUUCAAUGAUCUAAUUUAUAUGAUACUUCACUGAAUGUGUGUAUGGAUGCCACACAAGAUAGCUAAGUCAACUUGCUAGAUAUUAUAGUCUAACUUUACAGGAUUCUUAGAAGCAGCCAAUCUACAUAAGGAAGGUUCUGCGUAAGUUUUCGAAGUACUAGAUUGGAAUUGCACUUAUCAAGCUGGUUUAGUUAGAGGAGGGAAAUUUGGUGAAAGAAACUGUUGCUAAAUGCAAUACCUGACGCCAUAAAAAACCUUGGUUUGGUUUUCAAUCAUGGCGCAGCAUGGCACUGGUAGGAACUAGGAAGGAAUUGGUGAUGCGCUUGUGAUAUGGUCAAUGUGCGGUAUGUUCAGUCCUGGACAUUUGCUGGUUUGUUUCUCUAAAUAUCGGUUGACAUGUGAUUAUUUAGCAUAGUAGGUGAUGAAUUCAUCGGCCAUGUCUUAGAUUAAUGCCAAGAGUUCCACUUUAAUUUUCUAUGAGUUUGAGUGAGAGCCUUUUGCUCGCCAUCAUCUUAUCAUGUUUUGCACGUAUACAGAUUAUUUCUUCCUCAACUUCUGAUAUCUCUGAGAAUUGAGCCUAAUGCUUGGCUGCGUUGUAAGGUUUAAGAAAAAAUGAAGUUUGUCAUAUAUAUGUGUGUGUGUGUUUACUUGAGAAGACAAAGCUUUGAACUGAACUAGGCUUCAACCUGUCAGCUUUGCUGGGAUGAGGCUCCAUUUGCUUUUAAAACCAAAAUUUUAAUUUCUUGGAAACAAAA
Molecule: long non-coding RNA, 756 nt
Organism: Gossypium arboreum
Lineage: Eukaryota; Viridiplantae; Streptophyta; Magnoliopsida; Malvales; Malvaceae
Exons: 2
Source: RefSeq, a predicted model, not a curated record